Violaceomyces palustris is the source of this 114-nucleotide non-coding RNA. NCBI's taxonomy places the organism in Eukaryota, Fungi, Basidiomycota, Ustilaginomycetes, Violaceomycetales, Violaceomycetaceae. The record is from the annotation of a GenBank genome assembly.
GCUUCCUUAGCGUAGUUGGUUUAUCGCAUCCGUCUAAUAAAGACAUGCCUGACGAACAGUCAGAUCACAUAUCCAUACAACGGAAGGUCACUAGUUCGAGCCUAGUAGGGAGCA